ACUUAAUAUUUAAUGAGGAGAUUUAGAUUCAGAUCACUUCUAAUAGUUACAUACAACUGAUGUAGAUGGCUAAUCUAGUUUAGGUCAGCACAUCAUCUCAUGUCUGACCAACCUAGUUGGCAUGGGUGAACUCGAGUCAACAAGUAACUUAAUAUAAAAUAUAUCUCCCAAAAUGGCCAAGUAAGUGAAGAUGAGUGAGAGUCUCCCUGUUGCUUUUCUUAGACACCAACGAAUUGGCUAGAUCAGACAAUGAAACUAAUUAAAGAACCACCAUCCAAGACUUGCCUUAGACACAAAAUUGGUUGAUUAGAAUCGAUCAGGUUAACUUAUAGAUCCGAGCUUGAACCACUGAGCCAAAUUCAAUUUUGAUUUAAUUAAUUCACAUCACAUAUGAAUCAAUUUGAUCAACUACAACUAAACUCAAUUUUGAGCCCCUUUGAUCUAAUCCUAAUCAACUUUUGAUUAGGUUCGAUCAACUGCUCAAAAUCAAAAAAUAUUUUAACCUGAUCUAAUCAUGGACCC
This 522-nucleotide long non-coding RNA is filed under the name Elaeis guineensis (African oil palm). RNAcentral describes it as "long non-coding RNA (EGUI_LNC049495)". The record is from RNAcentral. Lineage: Eukaryota; Viridiplantae; Streptophyta; Magnoliopsida; Arecales; Arecaceae.